AGUGAACGCUGGCGGUAGGCCUAACACAUGCAAGUCGAACGGCAGCACAGUAAGCGCUUUCUCUUACGGGUGGCGAGUGGCGGACGGGUGAGGCAUACAUCGGAAUCUACUUUUUCGUGGGUGAUAACGGAGGGAAACUUACGCUACUACCGCAUACGUCCUACGGGUUGAAGCAGGAGAUCUUCGGACCUUUCGCGACUCAAUUAGACGAUGUCGGAUUAGCUAGUUGGCGAGGUAAAGGCCCACCAAGGCAACGAUACGUAGCUGGUCUGAGAGGAUGAUCAGCCACACUGGAACUGAGACACGGUCCAGACUCCUACGGGAGGCAGCAGUAGGGAAUAUUGGGCAAUGGGCGAAAGCCUGAUGCAGCAAUACCGCGUGAGUGAAGAAGGUCUUCGGAUCGUAAAACCCUGUUGUUAGGAAAGAAAAGCAGCAUGUGUAUCCACCGACGUUCUGACGGUACCUAAAGAGAAAGCCCCGGCUAACUUCGUG
RNAcentral lists this ribosomal RNA (492 nucleotides) under uncultured bacterium. Its description in RNAcentral is "partial 16S ribosomal RNA". It matches the Rfam family "Bacterial small subunit ribosomal RNA", at positions 29 to 507 of the family's 1533-position model. The record is from RNAcentral.